Molecule: long non-coding RNA, 1803 nt
Filed under: Sus scrofa (pig)
Lineage: Eukaryota; Metazoa; Chordata; Mammalia; Artiodactyla; Suidae
Description: lncRNA (ENSSSCG00070002991.1)
Source: RNAcentral
GCCUGGACGGGGCUGCUGCUCAGGCUCUAACAAUUCAGCACGUGGCCCCCACCCCGCCCCAGCCAGGGCAGCUCGUCCCGCACCCCCAAAACCCAGCAGGACAACAGAACCCAGGGGCCGGCCGGGGGGUGGGGCAGGCCGGGCAGAGCCCAGGCAGGAGAGGGUAGGGGAGCUGCAAGGGGGCAGGGUGGGGUGGGCUUCAGGGGGAGGCACAGGGAGGAUGUGCUGCCUGGGAACAUCCUUGAAAGGGUCAAAGACGUUGUUCUGAUCUUCCGUCCCAGGAGGGGUACCAGGCCCACCCCAGCCGGGGCCGCCGGGCCGCCAGGCAGAGCCCGAGAGGCAAAGGUGCCAGAGGAACCCAGGCUGUGCACGCCAGCUCAGCGCUUGCCAUGGGCAUCCCUCUCACAUGAACGCAGCUCAUGUUUUAGCUGGAAAACAGAGAGAGGUUUGGAGGAUUCUAAUAAAAGUCACCCGGGAGCCCCCUGCCGGGGGGCCCCUCUGGGUGUCCCCUCGCGGCCAUGAUAAAGGGCCGAGGGCUCUGCCAGGCAGCCCCAGCACAGGCAUCUUCUCCUGGCCCGGGAUCCUGCAGAAGAGCACAAGGGCUGCAGAGCAGAGGCCGGACGACGCCAGCUCUCAGAGUCAGCACCAACCCCGUCAGGGUGACCACUGGGGACCCAUCCACGCCACAGAGAGGUGACAGGUGAUACGCGUCCUGCGUCUCUGCUCCUUCCAGCCAGCUCCCCAGAACAGCAGGGCCAACCACCCUGGGCCUGGCCUCCUCCUGCUUCCUCCACACAGGCUCUGGACUCAGGCUCCGGCCGAGCCGAGGUACCACCCAACCGUGGAAUGACCGACGGGAGAGCAUCCGCCUGGGGCCUCCUGGGAGGGAUGGGCGGCACAGACGGGGGCGCAGGGGGAAGGCGCUUCGGACAGUGGAUGGCAGUGCCACGGCCUGACCGUCCCCAACUCCCUCCUCCCGCCCAGCCUCGUUUCCUCAUCUCUAAAAUGGAGCCAAGAGGCAGACCCGGGUCCUGGAGUCCUUGGGGGCUUAACCACCCGCCCGCCCUGAGCACUGAGAACCCGGUCCUUUGUUCUGGGGCGACCUGCAGGGAGCCAGGGGAGAGGGGACAGGCGCUCAAGAGAGGAAGCCGAGAAGCAGGGGUUGGGAAGGGGAGACCUAGAGAGAGACCCAGACCAGACCAGACCAGACCAGGGUGCUCAGAAGACCAGCUCAACCAGAUGGCAGCCCAGGAAGGGUGCGCCCCCUCCCGCCCCCACCACACAGGACAGGCUCCGUCGGAACGCACCAGCAGGGGACGGGUGGCUGGGUGCCCAACGGGUCCCAAGAAACGACGCCGGAAAGAAAGCCCAGCUGCCCGUGGGGGCCAAACAUUCCCCAUCCAGGCCGGGAGAAGGAGGAUCCCAGGACGAUGCACAGCCUGCAGCCCAGACCCAGGACCGGCCCACCGCAGAUCCACAGGUUUAAAGGGCACCGGCGAGAGCUGGCAUCACGGGCCCCAAGACCAAACUUCUGAGAAGCCCGGAAGAGGGGGUCCCGGAGCUCUCUCCUGCCAUGCUCUGGGGGUCGGAGGUGAACCUUCUGGGACUCUCUGCGCACGCCCCUGGGACCGCACCUACGCCCCUGGGACGGCACCUAGACCUAAACUUCAUCCCAGGCCCCACCCCGCCCCAGCCCCAGCCAUGCCCACGGCUGCAGGGCAGUCCAGCUGUCCAGAGGGGACGCUACCAGUUGGAGACACAGUCACGUGGCUUGGCAUGUGGCCCUGGCCCAGGAUUAUUUAG